This is a small nuclear RNA of Pteronotus mesoamericanus, 191 nucleotides long. RefSeq annotates it as U2 spliceosomal RNA. The transcript has a single exon. NCBI's taxonomy places the organism in Eukaryota, Metazoa, Chordata, Mammalia, Chiroptera, Mormoopidae. The record is from RefSeq and is a predicted model, not a curated record.
AUCACUUCUCUGCCUUUUGGUUAAGAUCAAGUGUAGUAUCUGUUCUUAUCAGUUUAAUAUCUGAUACAUCCUCUACCUGAGGACAUUACAUUAAAUGGAUUUUUGGAGCUGGGAGAUGGAACAGGAGCUUGCUCUGUCCACUCUGCACAUUGGCCUGGUAUUGCAGUACUUCCGGGAAUGGUGCACCAAAA